This 440-nucleotide ribosomal RNA is filed under the name uncultured bacterium. Its description in RNAcentral is "partial 16S ribosomal RNA". It matches the Rfam family "Bacterial small subunit ribosomal RNA", at positions 28 to 507 of the family's 1533-position model. The record is from RNAcentral.
GACGAACGCUGGCGGCGUGCCUAAUGCAUGCAAGUCGCACGCGGCACCUUCGGGUGCUGAGUGGCGAACGGCUGAGGAACACGUGGGGACCUGUCCGGGAGUGGGGGACAACACCGCGAAAGCGGUGCUAAUCCCGCAUACGCUCUGAGGAGGAAAGCCGAAAGGCGCUCCCGGGUGGCCCUGCGGCCCAUCAGGUUGUUGGUGGGGUAACGGCCUACCAAGCCAAUGACGGGUCGCUGGUCUGUGAGGACGACCAGCCAGACUGGGACUGGGACACGGCGCAGACGCGUACGGGAGGGAGCAGGAAGGAAUUUGCGGCAAGGGGCGCAAGGCUGAGCGAGCAACGCGGCGGGCAGGAAGACGGCCUGCGGGUGGUAAGCUGCUUUUGCUAGGGAGGAUAACGGACGGUACCGGGCGAAUCAGCCCCGGCUAACUCUGUG